UGAUUUUCUAGCAAAGCAGAAACAUGAGUUUUAUAAUUUAUAUAUAGUUUUUACUCUUUGAAAUGAUGAAACCGCUUGGAUUAUUAACAAGUGUGAAACUCCGAUUCCCAUGGAGAUCAUUCACUAUCGAAAUUGCCUGACAAAUGAUUUUGAGAGGCGAUCCAAUACAUUCAACAUUAAUAAGUAAAAAAAAGGAAGAAUAAAACACCGCACCAUAAAUUAUAAAAAAUAUGUAUAAUCAUCAAGGUCCUGUCACGCCAAAUACGUAAAAGGCAUGCUAGAAAUCAUGACUGCCUUCGAAAAACUGUCAUUUGAGCUGUCAAGUGUGAAAAAGUGGACAUGCCGAACAUACUUAGUUUUUGAUCCUAACGUGUGGUAUUUGUGAAAUCGCGGGAGAAAAAUAUCAUAGUUUAAUCUUUUGAACAAGGAUAUCUUUAAGAGUUUGUACUCAAUUUUAUUGAUAUGCAUGCAAAUAAAUUGCUUAGAUCCCCUGCUACAAA
Long non-coding RNA from Drosophila subpulchrella, 500 nucleotides. RefSeq lists it as uncharacterized. The transcript has 2 exons. The record is from RefSeq and is a predicted model, not a curated record. NCBI's taxonomy places the organism in Eukaryota, Metazoa, Arthropoda, Insecta, Diptera, Drosophilidae.